CAAAACCAACUAGGGAUGACACUAGAUGCACUUAUAGAGACUAUCUCAGGAUGGAAAUGUAUCAAGGAAUUACUCAAAAGUUCAAUGAUCAAACUUCUGAUAUAACUCCUUUUCUAUUAAGAGCUGACAUCACUCAAUAUAUCUCAGGAUAGAAAUAUAUCUGAUAUUACUCAAAGGGUAGGUGAUGGUAGAUACUCACAACAGUAAUGACCUCGUAAAAUAUAUAAAAAUGACUAUCUACAUGCCAUCCGCGCAUUUGUUAUAAAAUGUGACAAUGAAAUACCUAAGCAAGGUUUGGUAUGAUAGAAACCAAAAGCAGGCCAUAGUAGUAAACUACAUGGUUGACCAUUAGAUAUAUAACUUUGUCCACACGCCUUCACCUGAUUUGCUUGAUAUAUAACUUUGUCUUUGUCCACACUCCUUCAUUUGAUUUGCUUGCAUGUUGUGACACACGGAUCUGCUAAAGGACAUAUCGGGUUAGCAAACUAUUCAAAUAGUGUGCCUCAUGGAUAGGGAGAAAAUAAUUUGGCCUAUAUGAAGGAGAGUCGCUUUGGACAAUAUUCAGUGAUGUGGAUAAAGUGUAACCUCUUUAACAUAAAAUAAUAUAAAAGAUAAGAGUAAAAAAAUUAUCUUACUAUUCUACAUGGCACCCAGAAAACAUAAUAAGCCUACUAUUCAUAGAUAUCCUCCAAGAUUUUCUUCACAAAACUUGAUUACACUAUGCGAUGAAGCAACCUAAAGGCAUCUCACCUUAUUAUGUGCCUAAUUAUUCAACACUGACAGAGGUUUCCAAAUUAGUGGUUUUGUUUUGGCAUAUAAAGAAACUGAAGUUCAUAAUAUAUAAAAGCAAAUUAAUAGAGAUUAGAUAUUGCAACCAUGAAUCCAAUCCUCUAGUGAUUACUCUCAUUCUAAAGUUAGAACAGACCAAUAAAAUUAGAUACUGCAACCAUGAAUCUCCUCUAGUGAAUACUCUCGUUCCAAAGUUAAACCAAAGAUGAGAGCUAAUUAUAUAUGCACAAGGCAUCCAGAGAAAUGAUCUGGUUGUUCAUAAAGUCAAAACCACUAUAUUGAUUCAACCAAGCAUGAUUCAAAUCAAACUACCCUUCAACCUCCGUCGUAGGACCUAUUGAGAUAUAAUGAUAUAAUGGCAGAACGAAAGGAAAAGAAAAGAAAAAAAAAGUAAAAUCAUCGUAAGAGCAUCGAAUUCAUAUCCUAAUCCACGGAAGCAUCAUGCAUAAAAAGUCUGUGCAUGAUGGAAAUGUAGAGACUAUAUAUCUCACUGGCGGACAUCCACAUAGUUUGAGGUAGAAGAAGCUCGUCGGCUAACAUUACCACAAGGAGGAGCUCAAGUUGGCCUUGGAACAGCCUAGUGUCACCGUGGAAGUCCAGAAGCAGUCCAAGCGGCGUUGCCACUAUGACCUUUAACUCUGCAAGAAGUGUCACACUCAUACAGAAAGAAGUUGUUCUCUUCCAUCCACAGAACACAAAAUAACAAAGGUAAAUAAGUUGUCUACUCAAAAUUCGGAACACUUCAUCUAAUAGGAUGACACAAACAGAAGGCCGUCGUGUAAAAAGCAAGUUCACUAAAUUCGGCAGAUGAUUAGUAAUUUAGCAUACUUGUAACCUCGCCAAUGGACAUACGCAUCCUCACAUUUAAAGAUUUUGCAUUAACAUAACCCAGUGUUAUAGUGAUAGUACGUUCCAACUCAUUCUUGAAAAAAAGAAACAUUGUACAGUUAAAAACGAAUAUCAAGCACAAGCACAAGCACAUGGAAAAGGACCACGUGGACAUUUUUUCCGUUUUAAGCUUGGAUCACCUAAACAUUGUUCUGUUUUGAGCUUGGACCACCUCAACAUUCACCACCAAAACAGAGAAGAGAAGGUUCCAAACAGAGCAAGUCAAGGAACAAAUUAUCCAAUUGUCUAUAUUCAUGGAUUAGAUGAUGCAAUAAUAAUAGUCAUGGAACUAUUUCUUUAAUGCAUAGGAAGCCAAAACAAUUCAUUAGCACUAUUCUCGAUCAAUUAUCUGAAGUCAUGGGACUAUUUUUUAAUGAACAUCUCAUUAGUGUAACUUAUAAAUCAAUAGAAACAAAUAAUAGGUGGAUCCAAAUAUGAAUGAGGAACCAAGCAGCUUUACUGUAUGCAAAUUAAAAGACUUCAACUCUGUAC
RNAcentral lists this long non-coding RNA (2169 nucleotides) under Triticum aestivum (bread wheat). RNAcentral's name for it is "long non-coding RNA (TAES_LNC020930)". The record is from RNAcentral. Lineage: Eukaryota; Viridiplantae; Streptophyta; Magnoliopsida; Poales; Poaceae.